CCGAAGUGCUGGGAUGACAGGCGUGAGCCACCGCGCGCGGCCGGAAAGGGAGGAUUCGAACAGCCUGGCGGAGAGAAUUGUCUCCCGCAGUCUCCACUCCCCACCCCCAUGGCUUGCGACGGGUCGCGUAUUUGAUUACGCAAAGUAAGUUGGGAAAUCCUAUGUCCGCAAUCCCAUCUGGGAUUAUUUAUUUCGCCGCGUCCGCAGCCGGUGGAAGUCGUGAGACGGUGCAACGCUGAGCGGCUUUCCGCAGAAGGAGGUGCCUUCGAGGCCGGCUCUGGAGGAGCCACAGCCAAGCCGGCCACAGCAAAGCACUUCUCUCGGGAUGCUCAGACGUUUUCAAAUGCCGGUCGCCACCCUGGGCGCUGGCGGCAGUCUCCAGGGUCUCACUCCUGUCGCCUAAGGCUAGAGUGUAGUGCCGCGAUCUCGGCGCACCUGCGGCCUCGACUUCUCAGGCUCAAGCGAUCCUCCCACCUCAGCCUCCUGAAUAGCUGGGACUACAGGCGCAUUCCACCACGCCCGGCUAUUUUUUUUGUAUUUUUAGUAGAGACGGGGCUUCGUCCUGUUGUCGAGGUCCUCAGUCACGGCCUGACCCCUUUUAAGAGAGGGACCUCAAGAGGGGAGCUGAAUUCCUUGAGCCCUCGCCUUUCAAUCAAGUUUUCAAGGCACGCUUUGGCCGGGCCCUCCCGGACUGGCUGUGCUGCUACCUCCAGAGGAAAUCAACGUCUGUACCGAACUCCUAACCUGUGAAGACCUGCUGUCCUCAUAAUUGCGGAGUGGGGCCAAGGAAGGCUACUCUUUCCCCUUUGCAGAUGAGGCAACUGAGGCAACUGAGCCGCAGAAAACUAACUGACCAAGAUCACCCAGCCAGUGGAACAAACAGCUCGAGCCCAGGCUCUCUGGCUCCUAUUCCCUCUGAAUAUUUAAUUUACUAAACUGUUUGAGCAGCCGUAGAUUCCCUUCACAAUCCGGUAAAAUCUAUAAUUACUCCUCCCCUUCCCCAAAAUGUACUUAUUUUCCCAUUCAAUAUCGGAGCUUCUCGGACUUCCUGAAGUUAGUCCCAGGAUAAAGAUCCUCUUUCUCCUCCCCCUUGCCCCGCCCCACGACCUCGCUUCCCAGUAAUUGCUGGGAUCCCGAUUCUCUGGAGGCAUUCCGGGCGGAUUGAUUGAGUGUAAUUCAACUGAGUUAUGAUUACAGCUGCUGGUUCCCCUGUGCCGCAGACGGGUGUGUAGGGAGGGUGGGGCACGUGGAGAUGGGCAAGAUGUCUGGAGAGAGCAGUGGGGCUGUUGUGCACGUUUUUGCUAGAGGUGAGGGUUGAGAGCUAGGGAGGAAACAAUUCCGAGCCCACCCCGCUGGGACCCACGGGCUGAGGUCCUCCAGGAAGCACUGGGGCUCAGCUUUCCCUAUGUCAGUACGGAUGGAGGACACACAGGAGGAAGGCUGGUGGCUCUGCCGGAACAUUCUGAGGGCCUUGUUCUCUGCCUACGCUGGGACCUGCAGUCCCAUCUCCCAUUUGGCCUCAGCCAGCGUGGUUUAUUGUACCCAAAUCCCGCUUGUUUCCUCCUUAUGCAGCAGUUUUAAAAUUUCGAACUAGUUCAAGAGCUGCUCGGCUGCUCGUUUACUUUCAGUUUUGGGAACAGAGGCUUACACCCCUUUCUCCUCCUGUUUCUCCUCCAGUCCCUCUUCCCCUCAAUCUAGUUUCCCAAAGUUAGCAAACCUACUUUCUUGAUUUUGUUUCUUAACAUUUAAAACAACUGGUGAAGGGCUAAUGAUUUCAUCUCCUUACCACCACCCCUAACCUUAAAAGCAAUAAAUAAAAUAAAAGCCCAGCCUGCCAACCGCAUGCACACACGGCCAGCGGUGGUGGGGGUUUGUAGUUUGCAUACACGUCGCGGGGCAGAAGCCUGUUUGCAAAGGCUGAAAUGUAGCUAGCAGGGGAAGACGCUGAAAAAACAGAGUGAUUUGAUAAAAACGUGCUGGGCCCUGUUACAGGAGGGCUGCUGGGAGUAGUCCCAGGUACUCACAUCAGAAGGGGUGCAGGGGAAUAAAAUUUAAAAAAGCAAACCCAUGGCGAGUCUUUCUUGCUGGGAGUGAGGGGCUCUGCAAAAUUUCUGGGACUUCAGAACAGAGGUCGACAAGGUCCAUUGCUCUUCCC
This 2155-nucleotide long non-coding RNA is filed under the name Homo sapiens (human). RNAcentral's name for it is "non-protein coding LINC01230:10". The record is from RNAcentral. Lineage: Eukaryota; Metazoa; Chordata; Mammalia; Primates; Hominidae.